This 2934-nucleotide ribosomal RNA is filed under the name Priestia aryabhattai. RNAcentral's name for it is "bacterial LSU rRNA". It matches the Rfam family "Bacterial large subunit ribosomal RNA". The record is from RNAcentral. Lineage: Bacteria; Bacillati; Bacillota; Bacilli; Caryophanales; Bacillaceae.
UUAAGUUAGAAAGGGCGCACGGUGAAUGCCUUGGCACUAGGAGCCGAUGAAGGACGGGACUAACACCGAUAUGCUUCGGGGAGCUGUAAGUGAGCUUUGAUCCGGAGAUUUCCGAAUGGGGAAACCCACUGUUCGUAAUGGAACAGUAUCUUUAUCUGAAUACAUAGGAUAUUGAAGGCAGACCCGGGGAACUGAAACAUCUAAGUACCCGGAGGAAGAGAAAGCAAAUGCGAUUUCCUGAGUAGCGGCGAGCGAAACGGAAUUAGCCCAAACCAAGAGGCUUGCCUCUUGGGGUUGUAGGACACUCUAUACGGAGUUACAAAGGAACGAAGUAAAUGAAGCGACCUGGAAAGGUCCGUCGAAGAAGGUAACAACCCUGUAGUUGAAACUUCGUUCCCUCUUGAGUGGAUCCUGAGUACGGCGGAACACGUGAAAUUCCGUCGGAAGCUGGGAGGACCAUCUCCCAAGGCUAAAUACUACCUAGUGACCGAUAGUGAACCAGUACCGUGAGGGAAAGGUGAAAAGCACCCCGGAAGGGGAGUGAAAGAGAUCCUGAAACCGUGUGCCUACAAGUAGUCAGAGCCCGUUAACGGGUGAUGGCGUGCCUUUUGUAGAAUGAACCGGCGAGUUACGAUCCCAUGCAAGGUUAAGCUGAUAAGGCGGAGCCGUAGCGAAAGCGAGUCUGAAUAGGGCGUUUAGUAUGUGGUUGUAGACCCGAAACCAGGUGAUCUACCCAUGUCCAGGGUGAAGUUCAGGUAACACUGAAUGGAGGCCCGAACCCACGCACGUUGAAAAGUGCGGGGAUGAGGUGUGGGUAGCGGAGAAAUUCCAAUCGAACCUGGAGAUAGCUGGUUCUCUCCGAAAUAGCUUUAGGGCUAGCCUCAUGUUGUGAGAGUCUUGGAGGUAGAGCACUGAUUGGACUAGGGGCCCCCAACGGGUUACCGAAUUCAGUCAAACUCCGAAUGCCAAAGACUUAUCCAUGGGAGUCAGACUGCGAGUGAUAAGAUCCGUAGUCAAAAGGGAAACAGCCCAGACCACCAGCUAAGGUCCCCAAGUAUACGUUAAGUGGAAAAGGAUGUGGAGUUGCUUAGACAACCAGGAUGUUGGCUUAGAAGCAGCCACCAUUUAAAGAGUGCGUAAUAGCUCACUGGUCGAGUGACUCUGCGCCGAAAAUGUACCGGGGCUAAACGUAUCACCGAAGCUGUGGAUUGACAUCUUUGAUGUCAGUGGUAGGAGAGCGUUCUAAGUGCUGUGAAGUCAGACCGUAAGGACUGGUGGAGCGCUUAGAAGUGAGAAUGCCGGUAUGAGUAGCGAAAGACAAGUGAGAAUCUUGUCCACCGAAUGCCUAAGGUUUCCUGAGGAAGGCUCGUCCGCUCAGGGUUAGUCGGGACCUAAGCCGAGGCUGAAAAGCGUAGGCGAUGGCCAACAGGUUGAUAUUCCUGUACCACCUCCCCGCCGUUUGAGUAAUGGGGGGACGCAGUAGGAUAGGGUAAGCGCGCUGCUGGAUAUGCGCGUUCAAGCAGUUAGGCUGAUGAGUAGGCAAAUCCGCUCAUCAUAAAGGCUGAGCUGUGAUGACGAGGGAAUUAUAGUACCGAAGUUCCUGAUUCCACACUGCCAAGAAAAGCCUCUAGCGAGGCGGGAGGUGCCCGUACCGCAAACCGACACAGGUAGGCGAGGAGAGAAUCCUAAGGUGAUCGAGAGAACUCUCGUUAAGGAACUCGGCAAAAUGACCCCGUAACUUCGGGAGAAGGGGUGCUCUGGUAGGGUGUAUAGCCCGAGAGAGCCGCAGUGAAUAGGCCCAGGCGACUGUUUAGCAAAAACACAGGUCUCUGCGAAGCCGCAAGGCGAAGUAUAGGGGCUGACGCCUGCCCGGUGCUGGAAGGUUAAGAGGAGGGGUUAUCCUUUGGGAGAAGCUCUGAAUCGAAGCCCCAGUAAACGGCGGCCGUAACUAUAACGGUCCUAAGGUAGCGAAAUUCCUUGUCGGGUAAGUUCCGACCCGCACGAAAGGCGUAACGAUCUGGGCACUGUCUCAACGAGAGACUCGGUGAAAUUAUAGUACCUGUGAAGAUGCAGGUUACCCGCGACAGGACGGAAAGACCCCGUGGAGCUUUACUGUAGCCUGAUAUUGAAUUUUGGUACAGCUUGUACAGGAUAGGUAGGAGCCUGUGAAGCCGGAGCGCUAGCUUCGGUGGAGGCGUCGGUGGGAUACUACCCUGGCUGUAUUGAAAUUCUAACCCGCGGCCCUGAUCGGGCCGGGAGACAGUGUCAGGUGGGCAGUUUGACUGGGGCGGUCGCCUCCUAAAAUGUAACGGAGGCGCCCAAAGGUUCCCUCAGAAUGGUUGGAAAUCAUUCGUAGAGUGUAAAGGCACAAGGGAGCUUGACUGCGAGACCUACAAGUCGAGCAGGGACGAAAGUCGGGCUUAGUGAUCCGGUGGUUCCGCAUGGAAGGGCCAUCGCUCAACGGAUAAAAGCUACCCCGGGGAUAACAGGCUUAUCUCCCCCAAGAGUCCACAUCGACGGGGAGGUUUGGCACCUCGAUGUCGGCUCAUCGCAUCCUGGGGCUGUAGUCGGUCCCAAGGGUUGGGCUGUUCGCCCAUUAAAGCGGUACGCGAGCUGGGUUCAGAACGUCGUGAGACAGUUCGGUCCCUAUCCGUCGUGGGCGUAGGAAAUUUGAGAGGAGCUGUCCUUAGUACGAGAGGACCGGGAUGGACACACCGCUGGUGUACCAGUUGUCUUGCCAAAGGCAUCGCUGGGUAGCUAUGUGUGGACGGGAUAAGUGCUGAAAGCAUCUAAGCAUGAAGCCCCCCUCAAGAUGAGAUUUCCCAUAGCGCAAGCUAGUAAGAUCCCUGAAAGAUGAUCAGGUUGAUAGGUCAGAGGUGGAAGCGUGGCGACAUGUGUAGCUGACUGAUACUAAUCGAUCGAGGACUUAACCAA